Molecule: long non-coding RNA, 476 nt
Organism: Hemicordylus capensis (graceful crag lizard)
Lineage: Eukaryota; Metazoa; Chordata; Lepidosauria; Squamata; Cordylidae
Exons: 2
Source: RefSeq, a predicted model, not a curated record
UAAAGAGUCCUGGCCAAUCAGAGGGUAUCUUUGAUGGCCAUUUGUUAAGGUAGCAGCUCCCUGCUAAGGGAGGGAUGCUGUGUUCAGUUCGUGGUCGCUUGCUGGCCUCAGAUCAGAGCUGGAGAGGCUACAUAUUUUGACAGCUCACAGAAUGGUUUUGCAGGCCCAAUCCUGAACCACAAUAACUUGGAAAUGCCGUUGGUUUUAAUGGCACAUUCAUUCAUUCAGUUCAUUCAUCGAUGCAACUGCCAGCUUCCAUUGCUGCUGAUCAAGGACCUUCAGAAAGGCUCAGAUAGGACCUAUGAACACACCUACCUGUUGGUUAAGAAGAUGGAUGUUCUGCAGGCAAAUGGGGGUUCAGUGAGAUGGAGGGCAGAGUCUGGGCCACAAUAAAAAUCAAAUCAACUGUGCAGGAGCCCUUAGUAUUAUUAUUGUGUAUAGAUUGGUUUUCAAAUGUAUAUUUAUUUAUUUAGUUA